Molecule: ribosomal RNA, 253 nt
Filed under: uncultured bacterium
Lineage: Bacteria
Description: partial 16S ribosomal RNA
Rfam family: Bacterial small subunit ribosomal RNA
Source: RNAcentral
UACGUAGGGGGCAAGCGUUAUCCGGAUUUACUGGGUGUAAAGGGAGCGUAGACGGUUAUGCAAGUCAGAAGUGAAAGCCCAAAGCUCAACUUCGGGACUGCUUUUGAAACUGUGUAACUAGAGUGCAGGAGGGGUAAGCGGAAUUCCUAGUGUAGCGGUGAAAUGCGUAGAUAUUAGGAGGAACACCGGCGGCGAAGGCGGCUUACUGGACUGUAACUGACGUUGAGGCUCGAAAGCGUGGGGAGCAUACAGG